Molecule: ribosomal RNA, 253 nt
Filed under: uncultured bacterium
Lineage: Bacteria
Description: partial 16S ribosomal RNA
Rfam family: Bacterial small subunit ribosomal RNA
Source: RNAcentral
UACGUAGGUGACAAGCGUUGUCCGGAUUUACUGGGCGUAAAGAGCGCGCAGGCGGUCGUUCAAGUCGAGUGUGAAAGCCCCCGGCUCAACUGGGGAGGGUCACUCGAUACUGAUCGACUUGAAGGCAGGAGAGGGAAGUGGAAUUCCCGGUGUAGUGGUGAAAUGCGUAGAUAUCGGGAGGAACACCAGUGGCGAAGGCGACUUCCUGGCCUGUUCUUGACGCUGAGGCGCGAAAGCGUGGGGAGCAAACAGG